GAGGCUCAGCCAGCCAGAGUUUUGUGCUGCUUUUACCCACAGAACACAGGCAGCUUUAAAAAAAAGUUUCAAAACAACAUCAUAAAAGCAGAAAACUGACAAUAACAUUCACAGUUAAGACUACCAGAUAGGCUUGUUUACAUGCAGUGAACAAAUCAAAGCUACAUUCUCCAGAUAGGUUUCAAGAACCGCCAGCAUAAGAGAUGUACCACGUCGGACUACGAAAACAACCCAAAAUAUUCAAGCAUCAUUCACCCACACCUACAUAUUAAGAGACCCAAGCAGCAGAGGUAUUCCUCGAGUGUAUUUGGGUAAACAAAGAGACAAACAUUGAGCUAAAGACCCUGACUAACAAUGCCUUUUGAUUAAUACGUCAAGGAUGCACAGCCCCCCCCCCCCCAAACACACUUUCUGUGGUCCCAUCUGAAGACAGGCCAGAGGGCAGGAGGAUUGGGGCGCAGGGUCAUCCCAAAGCCAGCUGGCAGGGAGGGGAGGGGUGGGGAGUGCCCCUAAAACCACACACCCUCCCCUUAAUUGAAUAUGCAGUAGUUCACUCCAUGUUUAACGCUAUGCUUUUGUUUUGGCAGCAACCUCUGUGGAAAAGCAUCUUUCACAAAAAAAAAGAAAAGAAAAAAUGAUAACGCACACAAAACCAUCUCCCUAACUGGCCGAGCCUCGACUGAGGUCUGUAAAACUGUAAAAGUUUAUGUAAACAAUGAGAUAAAUACAUAUGUUUCUUUUUAGAGCCACACAUGGUUCCAUAAUCAUUCAAAUGUGCUUUGGUUUAAAAAAUAGUUUGUGGAUUUGGGUAUGAGCUUUUUUUUUUCUCUCCUUUUCUUCUUAGUUCUUUGUACAACGUUGCAACUAUUUCUGAACAUAGUGUGUUACUAACUAAAACGUAGACUUGUUUUGAGCUGCCUCACCUUUGUCAAGGCUUUUUGUGUUAGUUGAAAAAAAGUAGCCCCCUGUUUGUCUUAAAUAUGAAACUAGUGUUUUGCUUUUCCCAUGAUCAAAAUACAGAGAAAUUGAUACAAUGCUAUAUUUUACAAAUGUAGCUGAGAGUCUGCAUUCACAGAUGCAGAACAAUCCCUGAAGUAUUUGAAUAGUAGUAGUAAUAGUAGUAAUAAUAGUAGUAAUAGUAGCAUGGUCACAGUUUGGAGUUCGUAGUAUGUUUUUUUUUUCCUUUUUUUUUUUCUUCGUUACGUCGAACAAGCAAGCAUUCAAAUGCAGCUGCAAAAACCUUUGCAGAGAUGGCUAGAGAUCGUGUAGUACAAAACACCUUUUGCAUUACAGACAUUACACUGUACUGCAGUAAGGGCUGCGAGUACAACAACGUUUGAAGGCAAUGCAUUGUGGACUCCCUCUUCGGCUAGAAGAGGUCACAAGCAACAAUGUAUCAGGCGAUAAAUAACACGUUUGUGGAUCUAGGAAUGGGUGGGUGGGGAUCGAGGAGUGUGAAAAAUUCAGAUGUACCAUGCAAUCACUAAACAGCAACUGCCUAACAACAAGACACCAACAUCCAACAUAAGUAACAAGUCUGGGAGCCCAAGACGCAGGUACCUUAAAACGGUAGUGAUGUUUGUGUAACUGUAGC
Molecule: long non-coding RNA, 1594 nt
Organism: Astatotilapia calliptera (eastern happy)
Lineage: Eukaryota; Metazoa; Chordata; Actinopteri; Cichliformes; Cichlidae
Source: Ensembl